RNAcentral lists this ribosomal RNA (246 nucleotides) under uncultured bacterium. RNAcentral describes it as "partial 16S ribosomal RNA". It matches the Rfam family "Bacterial small subunit ribosomal RNA", at positions 524 to 769 of the family's 1533-position model. The record is from RNAcentral.
UACAGAGGUCUCAAGCGUUGUUCGGAUUCAUUGGGCGUAAAGGGUGCGUAGGUGGCGCCGUAAGUCAGGUGUGAAAUCUCGGGGCUUAACUCCGAAACUGCAUUUGAUACUGCGGUGCUUGAGGACUGGAGAGGAGACUGGAAUUUACGGUGUAGCAGUGAAAUGCGUAGAGAUCGUAAGGAAGACCAGUGGCGAAGGCGGGUCUCUGGACAGUUCCUGACACUGAGGCACGAAGUCCAGGGGAGC